UACGAAGGGGGCUAGCGUUGUUCGGAAUCACUGGGCGUAAAGCGCACGUAGGCGGAUCUUUAAGUCAGGGGUGAAAUCCCAGAGCUCAACUCUGGAACUGCCUUUGAUACUGAAAGUCUUGAGUAUGGGAGAGGUGAGUGGAACUGCGAGUGUAGAGGUGAAAUUCGUAGAUAUUCGCAAGAACACCAGUGGCGAAGGCGGCUCACUGGCCCAUAACUGACGCUGAGGCACGAAAGCGUGGGGAGCAAACAGG
RNAcentral lists this ribosomal RNA (253 nucleotides) under uncultured bacterium. RNAcentral describes it as "partial 16S ribosomal RNA". It matches the Rfam family "Bacterial small subunit ribosomal RNA", at positions 524 to 776 of the family's 1533-position model. The record is from RNAcentral.